Non-coding RNA from Chrysemys picta bellii (western painted turtle), 1043 nucleotides. The record is from RefSeq and is a predicted model, not a curated record. Lineage: Eukaryota; Metazoa; Chordata; Testudines; Emydidae.
UUUGUUAAACUCUGAAAAGAAUGCUUUAAGAGCAGAUUUGCUUCUGCUCUGAGAUACUACAAGCAAUAUUUCACAUGCCACUGCCCCAGAGACUGUAUUAAUCAGCAAAACAGUAAUGGGAGUACAUUCUGAUAAUAAAUAUUUUCAUGUUUUAGUAAUAAAGGGGAUACAUUUUACGGUGUGAAAAGGAAGAAACAAGAAGAGCUGGUGCUCUACAUUUAGAAACAGUGAUAAUUCCAGGGAUUUGCUGAUUGGAGAAUUAAGGAGGAACAAAUGGACUAUUAAAAUCCAGGCUUUGCAGUCAGAAAGGACCCAGGACAGCAGUGGAUCAAAGAAGGAGAGCAGCAGAAGUGGAUCAGAAAGAAGAGAGCACAAAUGAACGGUGCUGCCUGACAGCUGGGAAUCAAAAGGAAAUGCUGGAUAUAUUUGGGACAUGUACUCUGAAUGGCAACACCCAAACUCCCCCAUGAAACUGUCAAGUGGAAACCAACUGGUUUGAGAAAAUGAAGGUACCCAAGAGAAGCCUUAUGAAGAAUGCUUAGCAGGAAGGGCAGAAUAGUUGAUCUCAACACAAUAUGGCAAAUGGAAGCAGCAGAGGAAUGGGUGAGAGUGGUUCUUGCCCUUUGUGCCCACAUUGGCACGGGAAGGAUGAUAUUCUCUUUAUGAACUGUGUGGUCAUCCCUAAUGUUCCAGCCCAUGAAGAAGCUGCUUUUUUAUAUAUACAAUGAACCCUGAAGACCAUUAUUCCAGUCAAGUUUCUUGAAGGCCUCCAAGUAAACCAUGAGCUCUUUGAUCAUCAAGAUCCAGACCGUACAAUGUUUUGCUCACAAUGUUCAUUUUUUGUAUAAGAUAUGGUACACUAUCUUAGAAAAACAAGAAACAAAAAUUCAGAAAUGUUUGUUUGCAAGCUAUCAGCUUCCAACUUAAGUUCCAACUAGGGUUGCCAACUUUCUAUUUGCAUAAAACACCCUAGCCCCGCCCCUUCCCUGAGGUCAUGCCCCCUUCCCCGCCCCUUCCCCGAGGCCCUGCCCCUGCCCCCCACU